CGGAGGGGCUAGCGUUGUUCGGAAUUACUGGGGCGUAAAAGCGCACGUAGGCGGCUUUGUAAGUUAGAGGUGAAAGCCCGGGGCUCAACUCCGGAAUUGCCUUUAAGACUGCAUCGCUAGAAUUGUGGAGAGGUGAGUGGAAUUCCGAGUGUAGAGGUGAAAUUCGUAGAUAUUCGGAAGAACACCAGUGGCGAAGGCGACUCACUGGACACAUAUUGACGCUGAGGUGCGAAGGCGUGGGGGAGCAAACAGGAUU
This 256-nucleotide ribosomal RNA is filed under the name uncultured bacterium. RNAcentral's name for it is "partial 16S ribosomal RNA". It matches the Rfam family "Bacterial small subunit ribosomal RNA", at positions 527 to 779 of the family's 1533-position model. The record is from RNAcentral.